Molecule: transfer RNA, 65 nt
Filed under: Thienemanniella tusimufegea
Lineage: Eukaryota; Metazoa; Arthropoda; Insecta; Diptera; Chironomidae
Description: tRNA-Trp
Source: RNAcentral
AAAGUUUUAAGUUAAAAAAACUAUUAACCUUCAAAGUUAAAAUUAAAAAAAAUUUUUAAACUUUA